Molecule: ribosomal RNA, 643 nt
Filed under: uncultured bacterium
Lineage: Bacteria
Description: bacterial SSU rRNA
Rfam family: Bacterial small subunit ribosomal RNA
Source: RNAcentral
CGCGGCCUAUCAGCUUGUUGGUGGGGUAGUGGCCUACCAAGGCGACGACGGGUAGCCGGCCUGAGAGGGUGACCGGCCACACUGGGACUGAGACACGGCCCAGACUCCUACGGGAGGCAGCAGUGGGGAAUAUUGCGCAAUGGGCGAAGGCCUGACGCAGCGACGCCGCGUGGGGGAUGACGGCCUUCGGGUUGUAAACCUCUUUCAGUAGGGACGAAGCGUAAGUGACGGUACCUACAGAAGAAGCACCGGCCAACUACGUGCCAGCAGCCGCGGUAAUACGUAGGGUGCAAGCGUUGUCCGGAAUUAUUGGGCGUAAAGAGCUCGUAGGCGGUCUGUCGCGUCGGCUGUGAAAACCCGGAGCUCAACUCCGGGCCUGCAGUCGAUACGGGCAAACCGGAGUACUGCAGGGGAGACUGGAAUUCCUGGUGUAGCGGUGAAAUGCGCAGAUAUCAGGAGGAACACCGGUGGCGAAGGCGGGUCUCUGGGCAGUAACUGACGCUGAGGAGCGAAAGCGUGGGGAGCGAACAGGAUUAGAUACCCUGGUAGUCCACGCCGUAAACGUUGGGCGCUAGGUGUGGGGGCCAUUCCACGGUCUCCGUGCCGCAGCUAACGCAUUAAGCGCCCCGCCUGGGGAGUACGG